RNAcentral lists this ribosomal RNA (261 nucleotides) under uncultured archaeon. RNAcentral describes it as "partial 16S ribosomal RNA". It matches the Rfam family "Archaeal small subunit ribosomal RNA", at positions 748 to 1009 of the family's 1478-position model. The record is from RNAcentral.
AGGGUGUAAACGCUGCGGGCUUGGUGUUGGGGGUCCUUUGAGGGCGCCCAGUGCCGGAGAGAAGUUGUUAAGCCUGCUGCUUGGGGAGUACGUCCGCAAGGAUGAAACUUAAAGGAAUUGGCGGGGGAGCACCGCAACGGGAGGAGCGUGCGGUUCAAUUGGAUUCAACGCCGGACAACUCACCAGGAGCGACGGUUACAGGAAGGCCAGGCUGAAGACUUUGCCGGAUUAGCUGAGAGGAGGUGCAUGGCGUAGUCGUGU